Molecule: ribosomal RNA, 979 nt
Filed under: Pseudomonas aeruginosa
Lineage: Bacteria; Pseudomonadati; Pseudomonadota; Gammaproteobacteria; Pseudomonadales; Pseudomonadaceae
Description: bacterial SSU rRNA
Rfam family: Bacterial small subunit ribosomal RNA
Source: RNAcentral
GCAGUCGAGCGGAUGAAGGGAGCUUGCUCCUGGAUUCAGCGGCGGACGGGUGAGUAAUGCCUAGGAAUCUGCCUGGUAGUGGGGGAUAACGUCCGGAAACGGGCGCUAAUACCGCAUACGUCCUGAGGGAGAAAGUGGGGGAUCUUCGGACCUCACGCUAUCAGAUGAGCCUAGGUCGGAUUAGCUAGUUGGUGGGGUAACGGCCUACCAAGGCGACGAUCCGUAACUGGUCUGAGAGGAUGAUCAGUCACACUGGAACUGAGACACGGUCCAGACUCCUACGGGAGGCAGCAGUGGGGAAUAUUGGACAAUGGGCGAAAGCCUGAUCCAGCCAUGCCGCGUGUGUGAAGAAGGUCUUCGGAUUGUAAAGCACUUUAAGUUGGGAGGAAGGGCAGUAAGUUAAUACCUUGCUGUUUUGACGUUACCAACAGAAUAAGCACCGGCUAACUUCGUGCCAGCAGCCGCGGUAAUACGAAGGGUGCAAGCGUUAAUCGGAAUUACUGGGCGUAAAGCGCGCGUAGGUGGUUCAGCAAGUUGGAUGUGAAAUCCCCGGGCUCAACCUGGGAACUGCAUCCAAAACUACUGAGCUAGAGUACGGUAGAGGGUGGUGGAAUUUCCUGUGUAGCGGUGAAAUGCGUAGAUAUAGGAAGGAACACCAGUGGCGAAGGCGACCACCUGGACUGAUACUGACACUGAGGUGCGAAAGCGUGGGGAGCAACAGGAUUAGAUACCCUGGUAGUCCACGCCGUAACGAUGUCGACUAGCCGUUGGGAUCCUUGAGAUCUUAGUGGCGCAGCUAACGCGAUAAGUCGACCGCCUGGGGAGUACGGCCGCAAGGUUAGACUCAAAUGAAUUGACGGGGCCCGCCCAGCGGUGGAGCUGUGGUUUAUUCUAACAACGCGAAGACCUUACCUGGCUUGACUGCUGAGACUUUCCGAAAGGAUUGGUGCCUCGGAACUCAAACCAGUGCUGCUGGCUG